GGUUCCAUAGCUCAGUAGGUAGAGCGUGUGGCUGUUAACCACAAAGUCAGAGGUUCGAUCCCUCUUGGAACCG
This 73-nucleotide transfer RNA is filed under the name Dermatophagoides pteronyssinus (European house dust mite). RNAcentral describes it as "tRNA-Asn". It matches the Rfam family "tRNA". From Rfam's summary of the family: Transfer RNA (tRNA) molecules are approximately 80 nucleotides in length. Their secondary structure includes four short double-helical elements and three loops (D, anti-codon, and T loops). Further hydrogen bonds mediate the characteristic L-shaped molecular structure. tRNAs have two regions of fundamental functional importance: the anti-codon, which is responsible for specific mRNA codon recognition, and the 3' end, to which the tRNAs corresponding amino acid is attached (by aminoacyl-tRNA synthetases). tRNAs cope with the degeneracy of the genetic code in two manners: having more than one tRNA (with a specific anti-codon) for a particular amino acid; and 'wobble' base-pairing, i.e. permitting non-standard base-pairing at the 3rd anti-codon position. Lineage: Eukaryota; Metazoa; Arthropoda; Arachnida; Sarcoptiformes; Pyroglyphidae. The record is from Rfam by way of RNAcentral.